This 349-nucleotide long non-coding RNA is filed under the name Vigna radiata. RNAcentral's name for it is "long non-coding RNA (VRAD_LNC012342)". Lineage: Eukaryota; Viridiplantae; Streptophyta; Magnoliopsida; Fabales; Fabaceae. The record is from RNAcentral.
GCCAACUCUGUCACUAACUUCGUAAGGGAUUCAAUCUUGUUGUCCAACUUGCUUUCAAUAGCAGAUAAAGACUGGGCAACAACAUCAUGUACGCCCCUCACCACAAUGGCAUCAUUCCUGGUGCUAAACUGCUGGGAGUUGGAAGCCAUCUUCUCAAUCAAAUGCCUGGCCUCAGCAGGUGUGGUGUCUCCAAUAGCUCCACCACUGGCAGCAUCAAGCAUACCCCUAUCCAUGUUGUUCAAACCCUCAUAGAAAUACUGGAUAAGGAGUUGUUCAGGUAUCUGAUGGUGGGGGCAGCUUGCACAGAGUGUCUUGAAUCUCUCCCAAUACUCAUAUAAGCUCUCGCCAC